This 373-nucleotide ribosomal RNA is filed under the name uncultured organism. Its description in RNAcentral is "partial 16S ribosomal RNA". It matches the Rfam family "Bacterial small subunit ribosomal RNA", at positions 527 to 896 of the family's 1533-position model. The record is from RNAcentral.
GUAGGUGGCAAGCGUUGUCCGGAAUUAUUGGGCGUAAAGCGCGCGCAGGUGGUUCUUUAAGUCUGAUGUGAAAGCCCCCGGCUCAACCGGGGAGGGUCAUUGGAAACUGGGGAACUUGAGUGCAGGAGAGGAAAGUGGAAUUCCACGUGUAGCGGUGAAAUGCGUAGAUAUGUGGAGGAACACCAGUGGCGAAGGCGACUUUCUGGCCUGUAACUGACACUGAGGCGCGAAAGCGUGGAGAGCAAACAGGGAUUAGAUACCCUGGUAGUCCACGCCGUAAACGAUGAGUGCUAAGUGUUGGGGGGGUUUCCGCCCCCUCAGUGCUGCAGCUAACGCAUUAAGCACUCCGCCUGGGAGUACGGUCGCAAGACUG